RNAcentral lists this ribosomal RNA (253 nucleotides) under uncultured bacterium. Its description in RNAcentral is "partial 16S ribosomal RNA". It matches the Rfam family "Bacterial small subunit ribosomal RNA", at positions 524 to 776 of the family's 1533-position model. The record is from RNAcentral.
GACGAACCGUGCGAACGUUGUUCGGAAUCACUGGGCUUAAAGGGCGCGUAGGCGGCUUCCCGAGUCCGGGGUGAAAUCUUUCGGCUUAACCGGAAAAGUGCCUUGGAUACUGGGAGGCUCGAGUCCGGUAGGGGAGUGUGGAAUUCCCGGUGUAGCGGUGAAAUGCGCAGAUAUCGGGAGGAACACCAGUGGCGAAGGCGGCACUCUGGGCCGGUACUGACGCUGAGGAGCGAAAGCGUGGGGAGCGAACAGG